UGAGGGCAAGGGUGCCCAGGAAAGCUGGUCAUACUUCAAGGAGGCACUCUUAAAGGCGCAAGAUAAAGCCAUUCCCAAGUCCCAAAAAUCAAGCAGGAAGGGAAGAAGACCAGCCUGGCUAAAUAGAGAGCUUCGGCUGGAACUCAGGAACAAAAAGAAGGCUUAUAAUCUUUGGAAAAGGGGCCUGGCAGGCAAGGAGAAAUACCAGGAAGCGGUGAGGAUAUGCAGGGGGAAAAUUAGAAGGGCCAAGGCUCAAGUGGAGCUCAUCUUGGCCACCAAAGUUAACAAUAACAAAAAGGGGUUUUUUUCAGUAUGUUAACAGUAAGAGAAAGACUAGGGAUAAUGUGGGCCCACUGAUGGAUGAGGUGGGCACCCUAGUAGUGGAAGACACGGAGAAAGCAGAGUUGCUGAAUGUCUUCUUUUCUUCAGUCUUCACUGUUAGGACUGCCCCUCAUGAAUCUGUGGCCUUGGAGGCAAGGGGGACGGUAUGGAGAGAGGAAAUUUUUCCUCUAGUAGAGGAGGACCAGGUUCGGGACCACUUGGCCAAACUGGACAUUCAUAAGUCCAUGGGCCCUGAUGGGAUGCACCCACGAGUGCUGAGGGAGCUGGCAGAUGUUAUUGCUGGGCCACUCUCUAUCAUCUUUGAAAAGUCAUGGAGAACAGGAGAGGUGCCUGAGGACUGGAGGAAGGCCAACAUCACUCCAGUCUUCAAAAAGGGCAAGAAGGAGGACCCUGGGAACUACAGACCAGUUAGUCUCAGUUCUGCCCCUGGGAAGGUAAUGGAGAGACUCAUUCUAGAUGUCAUCUCCAAGCAAGUUGAAGAGCGGGGGGUUAUUGGAAGUGGGCAACAUGGGUUUACCAAGGGUAAAUCACGUAUGACCAAUUUGAUAGCCUUCUAUGAUGCCAUAACUGGUUGGUUGGAUGAGGGGAGGGCAGCAGACGUCAUCUACCUUGACUUCAGCAAGGCUUUUGACACUGUCUCCCAUAACAUCCUCAUUGGGAAACUGAGGCAGUAUGGGCUGGAUGAGGGGACAGUGAGGUGGAUUGAGAACUGGCUGUGUGACAGGACUCAAAGGGUAAUGAUUAAUGGAGCAGGUUCAAGUUGGAAGCCUGUAACCAG
Long non-coding RNA from Calidris pygmaea (Spoon-billed sandpiper), 1120 nucleotides. Lineage: Eukaryota; Metazoa; Chordata; Aves; Charadriiformes; Scolopacidae. The record is from Ensembl.